Molecule: ribosomal RNA, 497 nt
Filed under: uncultured bacterium
Lineage: Bacteria
Description: partial 16S ribosomal RNA
Rfam family: Bacterial small subunit ribosomal RNA
Source: RNAcentral
GAUGAACGCUGGCGGCGUGCCUAAUACAUGCAAGUCGAGCGAACGGACGAGAAGCUUGCUUUUCUGAUGUUAGCGGCGGACGGGUGAGUAACACGUGGAUAACCUACCUAUAAGACUGGGAUAACUUCGGGAAACCGGAGCUAAUACCGGAUAAUAUUUUGAUCCGCAUGGUUCAAAAGUGAAAGACGGUCUUGCUGUCACUUAUCGAUGGAUCCGCGCUGCAUUAGCUAGUUGGUAAGGUAACGGAUUACCAAGGCAACGAUGCAUAGCCGACCUGAGAGGGUGAUCGGCCACACGAGAACUGAGACACGGUCCAGACUCCUACGGGAGGCAGCAGUAGGGAAUCUUACGCAAUGGGCGGAAGCCUGACGGAGCAGCGCCGCGUGAGUGAUGAAGGUCUUCGGUUCGUAAAACUCUGUUAUUAGGGGAAAACAUAUGUGUAAGUUAAUGAACACAUCUUGACGGUACCUAAUCAGAAAGCCACGGCUAACUACGUG